UAUUGCACAAUGGGGGAAACCCUGAUGCAGCGACGCCGCGUGGGCGAAGAAGUAUUUCGGUAUGUAAAGCCCUAUCAGCAGGGAAGAAGAAAUGACGGUACCUGAGUAAGAAGCACCGGCUAAAUACGUGCCAGCAGCCGCGGUAAUACGUAUGGGGCAAGCGUUAUCCGGAUUUACUGGGUGGAAAGGGCGCGCAGGCGGCACGGCAAGCCUGAUGUGAAAGCCCGCGGCCCAACCGCGGGACUGCAUUGGGAACUACCGGGCUGGAGUGCCGGAGAGGUAGGCGGAAUUCCUAGUGUAGCGGUGAAAUGCGUAGAUAUUAGGAGGAACACCAGUGGCGAAGGCGGCCUACUGGACGGUGACUGACGCUGAGGCUCGAAAGCGUGGGGAGCAAACAGG
RNAcentral lists this ribosomal RNA (399 nucleotides) under uncultured bacterium. RNAcentral describes it as "bacterial SSU rRNA". It matches the Rfam family "Bacterial small subunit ribosomal RNA", at positions 362 to 776 of the family's 1533-position model. The record is from RNAcentral.